GGAAUCACAUACCCUUCAAAAACCAAGACAAUUGCUACAACCAAGACAACAAGAACAACACCAAUUAAAGGAUUACCUUCUAAGUUAACCACGACAAUAACCAAAGUUAGGACAAUAGCUAGUAGACACUCAAAUUCCAUCACAAAUAAUGAAAGAAGCACCGGUAAUACCAAACAUGCGUUGAUAACGAUUGAAGUCACUACAAGCAUGUCUUCAUCCUCAACAAGACCUGCGCGAUUUAGUAUAUAUGUAAGUAUGAUAAAAGAAAAUGUUUUAUUUUAAUUUCUGAGAAUUGCUUUUCUUUAACACACGCACGUAUCUGAGUCGAAAUUGUUUCAGUAGAAUUUUUAAUAACAUUAUAUAAAACAAAUUGAAAGCUGGCACAUCCAACUGAAACUCCCAACUAAAAUGAUAUGAUAAACUUUUUUUUCACGGGUAAACCAUUCAUAUGAAUACAUAAAUUCAGAAAUAAUUGCGUGGUUUUGAUAAAGUCGAAAAAUAUCACUUGGUAAGUGAUAUUUUAAAUAAUAAAAAAUCAAUUCUGAUAUCUUAUAUCUGUAUGUUGAUUGUUUUCUUCUGAAAUCGCAAUACUUAAUCUCGAACUUUAAUUUUUUAUCUGUAUACAUGUUAUACAAUCAUAGUGGGAUACAAUCCCUAGAACCAAAGUUGACAUAUCUUAUUUAAGUAGUUCGUCUUGACCUUUAAACUUUUGACCAUACAUCAAUCGGUUUCUUUCUCUGUCCUAUUUUAUCCAAAUGUAUAUGUUUCUGUAAUUUCUAAUCGAGCAGGGGAACUCGAGCUACUGUCAAGAAACUUUUUCAAAUUGAAAUCUGUUUUAAGUUACAGUGCCAUUAACCUUUAACAUAGACUCUUAAAUGAACAGGCUUUCGUCUUCUCUAUAUUAACCAUCUGAAUUGGCUUCAUUUCAAAACUCAUACACUUCUGGAUUUAAGAAUUUGAUACCGUGGCACUUUUUGGUUAUAAUGACAAGGUUAAUAAUAAAGUACGUUGUUUCUAAUUUUCGGCUGGGUGUAGUUGACGAAUAUUUUAACUUUACUCCUCGACGUAAACGCAGCCAUGGUCAACAUAAUUAUACCCCAUAUACCUUCAAUAUGUUUCAAUUAAUGACCUUCUGCCCUUUGUACAGCAGUCAUCCUACUCUGACUUUAUACAACGUCACCAGUGUCCGAGAGGAAAGUUGAUUAACAAUGAUAUGACAAAUACCGUCUCUUACUUUUGCUUAAAAAACUUAAACCUUGUUGAUAAAUACUCCGUAUCAAUUACACCAAUAAUACAUGUAUAUCCUAGGUACGAACUUUCUUUAUCACCUUCAUAGGGCUAGAGUUUAAAUAGUGUUGUUUUUAUUCGUUUAUUUUUAACCUUUACUGUUUUUCGGUAAUAUCCUUUAUUCCCAAACUACUUUAGAAAUAGGAAAUAACGAAAAUACCAAUGAAAAUUCAUAUAGUAAAGUCCCCAAUCAAAUGUUAAAAUGAAAAGCUCAAAUAUAUCAAACGAAUGGAAAACAAGUGUCAUUUUCCAGACUUGAUACAGGCAUUUACUUGUGUAUUAAAUGGUGGAUUAAAUAAUGGUUUUGAAGCAAGUUAAAACAGUUUAUCAUGUUUUUCAUACACUUGGUAAUAAUACACUUAAGUUAAAUUCAAACAAAUUACUACACUGAGACAUACUUAAUGUGAUUGGUAAACAACUUUUAAGUCAAAUACUAUAAAUGUUUAAACAAUAACGUAACGUUAUUUUGUAUUUGGUCUCUAAGUAAUUUAAAACAUCACUUCUCAAAAAAACUGUGGAGAAUGUACAAAAAUCUUUUAUGUUCAAAUUAACUGAAUCUGUCGUUAGACUUGAUUGUUCAACAUAUUUUUCAUUUGUGUUUAAGGCACCAGGUACUGCAAACAAUAAAAUAACUGAGAAAGUUGCUGACAUUUUAAUUGCAUCUUUAUGUAUCCUGGUGGGAAUCACUUUGAUAUUGUUAUCUA
Molecule: long non-coding RNA, 1991 nt
Filed under: Mytilus galloprovincialis (Mediterranean mussel)
Lineage: Eukaryota; Metazoa; Mollusca; Bivalvia; Mytilida; Mytilidae
Source: RNAcentral